This is a non-coding RNA of Pelobates cultripes (western spadefoot toad), 226 nucleotides long. Lineage: Eukaryota; Metazoa; Chordata; Amphibia; Anura; Pelobatidae. The record is from the annotation of a GenBank genome assembly.
AGAAAACAGACAAAAAAAAAGAGACCGAGAGAGACAGACACACACACACAGGGAUAGAGACCGUUACAGAGAGAGAGAGAGAUUGACACAGGAAAACAGGAAGACACACACACACAGGGAUAGAGACAGAGUUACAGAGAAAGUGAGAUUGACACAGGAAAACAGAGAGAGAGAGACACACACACAGGGAUAGAGAAAGAGAGAUUGACACAGGAAAACAGAGAGA